AUGGAGAGAUAUAGGGAGCAAAAGAAGGACUUGCAUAUGGUGUUCAUUGACUUGGAGAAGGCCUAUGAUAAGAUACCGCGGAAUGUCAUGUGGUGGGCCUUGGAGAAACACAAAGUCCCAACAAAGUACAUUACCCUCAUCAAGGACAUGUACGAUAAUGUUGUGACAAGUGUUCGAACAAGUGAUGUCGACACUGAUGACUUCCCGAUUAAGAUAGGACUGCAUCAGGGGUCAGCUUUGAGCCCUUAUCUUUUUGCAUUGGUGAUGGAUGAGGUCACAAGGGAUAUACAAGGAGAUAUCCCAUGGUGUAUGCUCUUUGCGGAUGAUGUGGUACUAGUUGACGAUAGUCGGGCGGGGAUAAAUAGGAAGUUAGAGUUAUGGAGACAAACCUUGGAAUCGAAAGGGUUUAGGCUUAGUAGGACUAAAACCAAGUACAUGAUGUGCGGUUUCAGUACUACUAGGUGUGAGGAGGAGGAGGUUAGCCUUGAUGGUCAGGUGGUACCUCAGAAGGACACCUUUCGGUAUUUGGGGUCAAUGCUGCAGGAGGAUGGGGGUAUUGAUGAAGAUGUGAACCAUCGGAUCAAAGCCGGAUGGAUGAAGUGGCGCCAAGCUUCUGGCAUUCUCUGUGACAAGAGAGUGCCAUAA
This 645-nucleotide ribosomal RNA is filed under the name Triticum aestivum (bread wheat). RNAcentral's name for it is "partial small subunit ribosomal RNA". Lineage: Eukaryota; Viridiplantae; Streptophyta; Magnoliopsida; Poales; Poaceae. The record is from RNAcentral.